AUCUCGGUUCUAUUUUGUUGGUUUUCUGAUCUGAGAUAAUGGUUAAGAGGGACGGACGGGGGCAUUCGUAUCGCUGCGUGAGAGGUGAAAUUCUUGGACCGUAGCGAGACGCCCGACUGCGAAAGCAUUUGCCAAGAAUGUCUUCAUUAAUCAAGAACGAAAGUCAGAGGUUCGAAGGCGAUCAGAUACCGCCCUAGUUCUGACCGUAAACGAUACCAACUAGCGUUCCGUCGGUGGUAAAUACGCCUUGACGGGCAGCUUCCCGGAAACGAAAGUUUUUCGGUUCCGGGGGAAGUAUGGUUGCAAAGCUGAAACUUAAAGAAAUUGACGGAAGGGCACCACCAGGAGUGGAGCCUGCGGCUUAAUUUGACUCAACACGGGAAAACUCACCUGGCCCGGACACCGUGAGGAUUGACAGAUUGAGAGCUCUUUCUUGAUUCGGUGGUUGGUGGUGCAUGGCCGUUCUUAGUUGGUGGAGUGAUUUGUCUGGUUUAUUCCGAUAACGAGCGAGACUCUAGCCUACUAAAUAGUCACUGGAUAAAUGCGUCCAGAAGACUUCUUAGAGGGACAAGCGGUGCUUAGCCGCAUGAAGUUGAGCAAUAA
Molecule: ribosomal RNA, 603 nt
Filed under: Crassicauda sp. JM-2016
Lineage: Eukaryota; Metazoa; Nematoda; Chromadorea; Rhabditida; Tetrameridae
Description: SSU rRNA
Rfam family: Eukaryotic small subunit ribosomal RNA
Source: RNAcentral